AUGUUUUCAAACCAUUCUUUUUAACAAAGUAUUUUAUAAAUGCUUUUUAAUAUGUAAAUGAUUUUAUGACAUGACAACCUUUUAUGAUGUUAUCUUUAAAAUGUUAUGCAAGCCUAUAUUAUUGAUAUGAACUUUUAUAAAUCUGAUACGAAUGUUUUGUACCCAUAUAUGAUUUCAAUUACUGAUAAUUGUAUGAGAUUCCUAAUGUUUUGGCUCAUUGUCCAUAGUUAUUCUGAUUCUGAUUCUGAUCGUAAUAUACGAUAUAUCUGUCUGGACCAGUACUGGGUUUCUGUUCUGAAUGUGCACACGAUAUUCUGAUUAUGUUUCUGGCCGGGUCACCGGGACUAUAGGUGACACUAUGUGACAUGAGCUAACCUGUUUGUUUUCUGUAUACGUAUUACAUGAGUUGAUUCGUAAGUAAAUAUGCUUUUGAAUAUUCUGAAUUAUUAAGAAUUUAUCUUAUGUUAUUGUGAUAUAUCGUUUUAUGAAAAUUAUGGAUUAUGAUAUAUGCUUUAAACAAAAGAAGGCUUGCAAUAUUUUUGGUAUCGAUAGGCCUAGUGUGUUAGGAAUGGUUUUACUUACCGAGUUGACGGCUCACCCCUCGUCAUUACUUUUUUGCAGAUUAAGUUUCUUUUGAGAGGUGCACUUAGCUUUGGAGUUAAUGAUUUCCAGUUUCCGUUUGCUAUUGAAUAAGAGGAGGAAUAGACUUGUGUUUCUAUUUAGUUACUUUUAUUAUGAACGUGUAAUUUGGAGUUUGAGACUUUUGUUAUUAUUUUUAUAUGUCCUCGAGAGAGAUUAUUUAGUAUUUGACGUUUGGAUUUAUGGAUUUAUUUGAAUAAGAAUUGGAGGAAUUUCAGUUUGAAACUUAUGAGUAAAGAUUAUGAUUUGUGAGUAACCUCCUUCUUCACGUGCUCCGCACGUGUUAGAUUUGGGGUGUUACAAUAGCCCACCCGUUUUUGUGGCCUUUUUCCGCUGGAAGAUCUUGGCGCCC
RNAcentral lists this long non-coding RNA (991 nucleotides) under Citrus x clementina. RNAcentral describes it as "Citrus clementina (C. clementina) long non-coding RNA (CCLE_LNC003770)". Lineage: Eukaryota; Viridiplantae; Streptophyta; Magnoliopsida; Sapindales; Rutaceae. The record is from RNAcentral.